UAAUACGUAGGGGGCAAGCGUUGUCCGGAAUCAUUGGGCGUAAAGCGCGUGUAGGCGGUUUGAUAAGUCCGCUCUGAAAGUCCGGGGCUCAACCCCGGAAGGCGGGUGGAUACUGUCAGACUAGAGUGCGGAAGAGGCGAGUGGAAUUCCCGGUGUAGCGGUGAAAUGCGCAGAUAUCGGGAGGAACACCAAUUGCGAAGGCAGCUCGCUGGGACGUAACUGACGCUGAGACGCGAAAGCGUGGGGAGCAAACAGGAUUAGAUACCCUGGUAGUCCACGCCGUAAACGAUGGGCACUAGGUGUGGGGGGUGUCGACUCCCUCCGUGCCGAAGCUAACGCAUUAAGUGCCCCGCCUGGGGAGUACGGCCGCAAGGCUA
Molecule: ribosomal RNA, 377 nt
Filed under: uncultured bacterium
Lineage: Bacteria
Description: bacterial SSU rRNA
Rfam family: Bacterial small subunit ribosomal RNA
Source: RNAcentral